UGAGAUGUUUGAAAAACAAAAGAGGCGAAAUGGCCGAAUAGUGUUUAACUGCCUUGGUUAGGGCAGAGUCACCUAGGUUUACACGCAGGAUUAGCAGCAGCAGCGCGACACAGGCAGGAGCCCUGGCACUCUUCUCUCCUCAGUUAGUCCUCAGCAUAAAGCCAGGUCAGUGUUUCUUGUGCUUCAGGUCAUUAACAACUGAGGUAGAGGCAUUUUAUGUUGCUACAAGUUACUGUUUCUGUAGUCCUGGGACUGAACGCAGGGCCCACUCACAUGUUAGACAAGCUCUACCACUGAGCCACCACCCUCUUACAAUUUUGUAUUUUGAGACAUGGUCUUAGGACGUUGCCUAGGCUGGCCUUGAGUUUGUUCAGUGGCUGAGCCUGGUCUUCAGUUUAUAUUCUUGUCACCCAGGUAACUAAGGCCAGCCCUAUCAGCCCAGGCUGCUUGAAGAUCUUCUAGGGAAGGGGUUUGGGGAGCAGGGUCUUAUGUGACAGAAUAGCUUCACACUCGCCAUGUCGCUGAAGGUGACCUCAAAUUCCUAGUGCUGUCCUGGGUGCUAGGAUUUUAGGUCUCUGUCAUCACGACCAGCUAAGGACAGAAUUAGACCAGCAUGAGCGUCUUCAAAAUUCAUGUGCAAGACAUUACUAUGGGAUUUUGUUGGUUUGCCUAUACUGAAAAAGCCAGUAGUAAGAUGGCCGACUCAAAUGUCUUAAGGAAGUAUCUCACUUCCCCAGUGAGAGACUUCAUGCAGAAGUUACAGUUGGGUUCCUUUGAGAAUCUUGUUGAAACGGUUUAGUCCAGGCUGGCCUCAUACUUGCAGUCCUGCCUCAGCCUACCUAAUGUUUAGAUUCCAUGGUACACCAAUGGUCACCUCAGCUGUGAGGCAUGCAGGAAUAACAGACUCGAGCCAUCAGGCUCUCUCCCUUCUGCCCUGACAGGACACCCUCAGGUGCACAUUCAGCCUGCUCUAGCCUACAUGCUGGGUGGUUUCCGUAUGUCGCAUACCUGUGUCUGUCAUGAGUGAGACUUGGUCUCAGCACACCGUUGUUCUUUCUCUUCUUGUAAUUACAUGUAAACUCUGUUUAGCUUUCGAAUCCUAGAUUGCAGAAUCUUUUGUCUUGGUGUUUGCAGUAAUGCUUUGCUGUUGCUGGUUUGGCACUGAACUUUGAUGCCCAUAAAAUCCUGGCAGACUUACGUCACUGGGGAUGAAUGUAAGCCUUGCACAAACUUAGAGCUAUUCACAUACGAUGAGCCUUCAGCAAGCUGCCCAGUCCUCAUGGCAGACUUACCUGGCUGUAGCUGCUUCUCUCCUUUUGUUAAACCUCUAGCAAUCGAUGUAGAUUUAACUCAUCUUUUAGUUUUCUUAGGAAUCACACAGACUUAACUUUCAGUUGGCCUCUCAAGGAAGAGAAAAGAAGUUGCUGCCAAUAAUUUCACAGCACAUUUUUGGCUUUGCACUGUAUUCUCUGUUCACCAUUGAAUAUGAAUAGCAUGGUCAUCGGGAGUUUAUGGUUGGAGAACAACAGUACUAGAGAUACAGCCUGUACUCGUCUAAUGUGACUUGUCCCUUUCCUCUGCAGUUGGGGCUCACUGCUUCUUCCCUGCCUUAGGACCCAUUGGGGGUCUGAGUGGGUCAGAGACAGUGAGUUAACAGUGUCAACUAAAUACACUGAUUAUGUGCUGUGCUUCAUUAUGUUAAGAGACCAAGUUAAUCAACGGUUAUACAGUACAUAGUCUUGCUAUGUGCUAAGCUCUGCCUCUUGGCUAGUAGAUGUCUAAAAUCUGGGGAAUAGCAUCCAAGAAGUACUAUUGUAUUUGGGGGUUACAAAAGCAGACCUAGACAAGUGUUCACUUGAAUGAUACCUGUUGGUCAGAAAGAUUUUAUUAAAAGAUUAUGAUCAUGUAAAAAUUACAGUCAGUACUCAACCCUUCUAGCAAAAUAUUUUUUGAAAAAUAAACUAAAUGCCUUUAUAAACAUG
Rattus rattus (black rat) is the source of this 1982-nucleotide long non-coding RNA. RefSeq lists it as uncharacterized. The record is from RefSeq and is a predicted model, not a curated record. The transcript is spliced from 2 exons. NCBI's taxonomy places the organism in Eukaryota, Metazoa, Chordata, Mammalia, Rodentia, Muridae.